CUCUUAUGUUACUUGUAGCUGC
This 22-nucleotide non-coding RNA is filed under the name Arabidopsis thaliana (thale cress). Lineage: Eukaryota; Viridiplantae; Streptophyta; Magnoliopsida; Brassicales; Brassicaceae. The record is from RNAcentral.